GGGCUAUUGGCGCAGGCAGGUAGCGCAGCAGGCUCUUAACCUGACGGUCGGGGGUUCGAUAUGUCGUUGGAAAUUCUCCAACUAACGAGAUUCCCUCAUAGCCCG
Molecule: transfer RNA, 105 nt
Filed under: Promethearchaeota archaeon
Lineage: Archaea; Promethearchaeati; Promethearchaeota
Description: Candidatus Lokiarchaeota archaeon (marine sediment metagenome) tRNA-Lys
Rfam family: tRNA
About the family: Transfer RNA (tRNA) molecules are approximately 80 nucleotides in length.
Source: RNAcentral